CAGCGCCACGAGUGGCAACUGUAUUUAUUGGGCCUAAAGCGUCCGUAGUCUGUCAAAUAAAUUUCUUGUGAAACUGUUAAGCUCAACUUAGCAACGUGCAGGAAACACUGUUUGACUUGGGACUGGGAGGAGUUAGGAGUAUACUUGGGGUAGCGGUAAAAUGUUUUAAUCCCAAGGAGACUACCGGUGGCGAAGGCGCCUAACUAGAACAGUUCCGACGGUGAGGGACGAAAGCCAGGGGAGCAAACCGGAUUAGAUACCCGAGUAGUCC
This 271-nucleotide ribosomal RNA is filed under the name uncultured archaeon. Its description in RNAcentral is "partial 16S ribosomal RNA". It matches the Rfam family "Archaeal small subunit ribosomal RNA", at positions 477 to 747 of the family's 1478-position model. The record is from RNAcentral.